AGAGCCCAUGCAUAAACCAUUUGGUUUUGCAAUUAAAAACAGGUUUGGCUUCCCUCUGCAUCAGUAAGACAACGUCAAAGCAACACUCGUCCUGAAAAUUUUCCCUUGUGAAUUCAAAUGAACUAACUACUUGAUAAAAAUACUAUUGCUAAAAACACCGUGCACCUUGGAGACAGGACACAGAGACAUCAAGCUGGAGCUGAGCUGGAAGGUAUCCACACUGACUAGCUUUCGUACAGGGAAACUAGAACAACUGAUCAGCUUUGGUUUCUCAAAGUCUUUUCCAAAGGAUCUGCAGAGACCCCUUUCUGCUGUACCAACACAAUGGUGUUUCCCGGCUCCCCCUCCUCAUCAUGGCCCUUCAUCACUGCCCAGCCUCUAAGGUUCUGCACUUUCAUACACGCUGCCAUUUGGCUUGACCCUUCAAGAAGUCCUGCAUACCUGAUGGAUUUAAAAAAGAGUAUCAUAUCAUCAAAGAUCUCCUGGGCAUUUACUGAUUUCCUUAGAGCUUCUAAUUCAAAAUUCCGAGAUGUUUGUAUCGUUUGGGGUGUUGAUGUUUGUUUUGUCUUUGAAACAGUGUCUCUCUAAGCAGCCCAGGUGAGCCUUGCACUUGUCAUCCUUCUGCCUUUUUCUCUCAAGUGCUUGGAUUACAGGCAUGUCCGACUAUAUGAAGCUUGUCUAUG
RNAcentral lists this long non-coding RNA (683 nucleotides) under Mus pahari (shrew mouse). RNAcentral describes it as "predicted gene 13219 (MGP_PahariEiJ_G0004740.1)". The record is from RNAcentral. Lineage: Eukaryota; Metazoa; Chordata; Mammalia; Rodentia; Muridae.